GUAGGGAAUAUUGCACAAUGGAGGAAACUCUGAUGCAGCGACGCCGCGUGAGUGAUGAAGGCCUUCGGGUCGUAAAGCUCUGUCGCAGGGGAAUAACACAAUGAAGGUACCCUGUAAGAAAGGAUCGGCUAACUUCGUGCCAGCAGCCGCGGUAAGACGAGGGAUCCUAGCGUUGUUCGGAAUCAUUGGGCGUAAAGCGGAUGUAGGUGGCUAUGUAAGUCAGAUGUGAAAGCCUGGGGCUCAACCCCAGAAGUGCAUUUGAUACUGCGUAGCUUGAGUGUCGGAGAGGUUACUAGAAUUGUUGGUGUAGUGGUGAAAUACGUAGAUAUCAACAGGAAUACCGGAGGCGAAGGCGGGUAACUGGCCGAACACUGACACUGAGGCACGAAACCUAAGGUAGCGAAUGGGAUUAGAUACCCCAGUAGUCC
Molecule: ribosomal RNA, 428 nt
Filed under: uncultured bacterium
Lineage: Bacteria
Description: bacterial SSU rRNA
Rfam family: Bacterial small subunit ribosomal RNA
Source: RNAcentral